This 821-nucleotide ribosomal RNA is filed under the name Candida tropicalis. Its description in RNAcentral is "LSU rRNA". It matches the Rfam family "Eukaryotic large subunit ribosomal RNA", at positions 84 to 924 of the family's 3401-position model. Lineage: Eukaryota; Fungi; Ascomycota; Pichiomycetes; Serinales; Debaryomycetaceae. The record is from RNAcentral.
UAGCGGCGAGUGAAGCGGCAAAAGCUCAAAUUUGAAAUCUGGCUCUUUCAGAGUCCGAGUUGUAAUUUGAAGAAGGUAUCUUUGGGUCUGGCUCUUGUCUAUGUUUCUUGGAACAGAACGUCACAGAGGGUGAGAAUCCCGUGCGAUGAGAUGAUCCAGGCCUAUGUAAAGUUCCUUCGAAGAGUCGAGUUGUUUGGGAAUGCAGCUCUAAGUGGGUGGUAAAUUCCAUCUAAAGCUAAAUAUUGGCGAGAGACCGAUAGCGAACAAGUACAGUGAUGGAAAGAUGAAAAGAACUUUGAAAAGAGAGUGAAAAAGUACGUGAAAUUGUUGAAAGGGAAGGGCUUGAGAUCAGACUUGGUAUUUUGUAUGUUACUUCUUCGGGGGUGGCCUCUACAGUUUAUCGGGCCAGCAUCAGUUUGGGCGGUAGGAGAAUUGCGUUGGAAUGUGGCACGGCUUCGGUUGUGUGUUAUAGCCUUCGUCGAUACUGCCAGCCUAGACUGAGGACUGCGGUUUAUACCUAGGAUGUUGGCAUAAUGAUCUUAAGUCGCCCGUCUUGAAACACGGACCAAGGAGUCUAACGUCUAUGCGAGUGUUUGGGUGUAAAACCCGUACGCGUAAUGAAAGUGAACGUAGGUGGGGGCCCGUAUGGGUGCACCAUCGACCGAUCCUGAUGUCUUCGGAUGGAUUUGAGUAAGAGCAUAGCUGUUGGGACCCGAAAGAUGGUGAACUAUGCCUGAAUAGGGUGAAGCCAGAGGAAACUCUGGUGGAGGCUCGUAGCGGUUCUGACGUGCAAAUCGAUCGUCGAAUUUGGGUAUAGGGGC